Molecule: ribosomal RNA, 253 nt
Filed under: uncultured bacterium
Lineage: Bacteria
Description: partial 16S ribosomal RNA
Rfam family: Bacterial small subunit ribosomal RNA
Source: RNAcentral
UACGAAGGGUGCAAACGUUGCUCGGAAUUAUUGGGCGUAAAGCGCACGUAGGCGGCUUGGCAAGUCGGAUGUGAAAGCCCUGGGCUCAACCCAGGAAGUGCAUUCGAAACUGCAGAGCUGGAGUCCUGGAGAGGAAGGCGGAAUUCUCGGUGUAGAGGUGAAAUUCGUAGAUAUCGAGAGGAACACCGGUGGCGAAGGCGGCCUUCUGGACAGUGACUGACGCUGAGACGCGAAAGCGUGGGGAGCAAACAGG